This 863-nucleotide ribosomal RNA is filed under the name Bacillus sp. Pu7. RNAcentral's name for it is "bacterial SSU rRNA". It matches the Rfam family "Bacterial small subunit ribosomal RNA", at positions 17 to 861 of the family's 1533-position model. The record is from RNAcentral. Lineage: Bacteria; Bacillati; Bacillota; Bacilli; Caryophanales; Bacillaceae.
UCCUGGCUCAGGACGAACGCUGGCGGCGUGCCUAAUACAUGCAAGUCGAGCGGACCGAAGGAGCUUGCUCCUUUAGGUUAGCGGCGGACGGGUGAGUAACACGUGGGCAACCUGCCCUGCAGACUGGGAUAACUUCGGGAAACCGGAGCUAAUACCGGAUAACACCGAAAACCGCAUGGUUUUCGGUUGAAAGGCGGCUUUUAGCUGUCACUGCAGGAUGGGCCCGCGGCGCAUUAGCUAGUUGGUGAGGUAACGGCUCACCAAGGCGACGAUGCGUAGCCGACCUGAGAGGGUGACCGGCCACACUGGGACUGAGACACGGCCCAGACUCCUACGGGAGGCAGCAGUAGGGAAUCUUCCGCAAUGGACGAAAGUCUGACGGAGCAACGCCGCGUGAGCGAAGAAGGUCUUCGGAUCGUAAAGCUCUGUUGUCAGGGAAGAACAAGUACCGUUCGAACAGGGCGGUACCUUGACGGUACCUGACGAGGAAGCCACGGCUAACUACGUGCCAGCAGCCGCGGUAAUACGUAGGUGGCAAGCGUUGUCCGGAAUUAUUGGGCGUAAAGCGCGCGCAGGCGGUUCCUUAAGUCUGAUGUGAAAUCUCGCGGCUCAACCGCGAGCGGCCAUUGGAAACUGGGGAACUUGAGUGCAGGAGAGGGGAGCGGAAUUCCACGUGUAGCGGUGAAAUGCGUAGAGAUGUGGAGGAACACCAGUGGCGAAGGCGGCUCUCUGGCCUGUAACUGACGCUGAGGCGCGAAAGCGUGGGGAGCGAACAGGAUUAGAUACCCUGGUAGUCCACGCCGUAAACGAUGAGUGCUAAGUGUUAGAGGGUAUCCACCCUUUAGUGCUGCAGCAAACGCAUU